AACGCACAUUGCGCUCCCGGGUACUCCCGAGAGCAUGUCUGUUUGAGAAUCAGUUUAACCUCUCACUCUUUAUAUUUAUUUAUAAAACAGUGGAUUUGGGACUAUUUUUCGAUUACGAAAAAAGACCUUUAAUUUAAAUUUGACCUUUAGACUUUGCUAAAUUUUAGCGCUUAACACCUAGAAGGCAUGACCAAUGGCAAAGAAGCAAUUCUUGACCUUUAGACUGCUGAUAAUAGGUUUAGUUAAUUUUUAACACAACUUGAAGAUUCCAACAUUAAAAAAAACACGGUUAAAAAGUUUUUUAAACUUUUUUUCCAAGACUUUGAUCUCAAAUCAGAUAAGACUACCCGCUGAACUUAA
Molecule: unclassified non-coding RNA, 360 nt
Filed under: uncultured fungus
Lineage: Eukaryota; Fungi
Description: sequence contains ITS2
Source: RNAcentral